GAGAAAUGUCACCAACUACCAUUACACAAAACAGAAUACUGGUUCACACAAAUACAAGACAAAACAUAGGGAUCAGGGCCCCGGUAAACUGUAACCCAGCAAAGUUCUUACCACCUUCAAUAACAAGUCUUGUGACAAAACAAGAGCAUCACUCAAUUUCAACAGUCAAAAAAUUCCCUCCUGAGCUAGAAAAAAAAUAAACAUUCAGCUUCAACUCUCAUACUUAACUUUUGGUGGUCUUCUCUUUAGUCUUCUGAAUCUUCAAGACUUUCUUCACAAUCUUCUGCUCCUCAAGAAGAAAGGCACGAAUAAUCCUUUCCCUCACAGCACUGCCAGAGAGCACCCCUCCAUAAGCACGAUUCACAGUCCUCCGAUUCCUAGCCAACCUAGACCUCUUGUACUGAGUAGGCCUCAGGUGAGGAAUCCCCUGAAUC
Molecule: unclassified non-coding RNA, 434 nt
Filed under: Hevea brasiliensis (rubber tree)
Lineage: Eukaryota; Viridiplantae; Streptophyta; Magnoliopsida; Malpighiales; Euphorbiaceae
Source: RNAcentral